CGAUGUAGCAAUACAUUGGUGGCGACCGGCGCACGGGUGAGUAACGCGUAUGCAACCUACCUAUCAGAGGGGAAUAACCCGGCGAAAGUCGGACUAAUACCGCAUAAAACAGGGGUUCCACAUGGAAAUAUUUGUUAAAGAAUUAUCGCUGAUAGAUGGGCAUGCGUUCCAUUAGAUAGUUGGUGAGGUAACGGCUCACCAAGUCCACGAUGGAUAGGGGUUCUGAGAGGAAGGUCCCCCACACUGGUACUGAGACACGGACCAGACUCCUACGGGAGGCAGCAGUGAGGAAUAUUGGUCAAUGGGCGAGAGCCUGAACCAGCCAAGUCGCGUGAAGGAUGAAGGAUCUAUGGUUUGUAAACUUCUUUUAUAUGGGAAUAAAGUGAGGAACGUGUUCCUUUUUGUAUGUACCAUAUGAAUAAGCAUCGGCUAACUCCGUGCCAGCAGCCGCGGUAAUAAGGAGGAUGCGAGCGUUAUCCGGAUUUAUUGGGUUUAAAGGGUGCGUAGGUGGUUAAUUAAGUCAGCGGUGAAAGUUUGUGGCUCAACCAUAAAAUUGCCGUUGAAACUGGUUGACUUGAGUAUAUUUGAGGUAGGCGGAAUGCGUGGUGUAGCGGUGAAAUGCAUAGAUAUCACGCAGAACUCCGAUUGCGAAGGCAGCUUACUAAACUAUAACUGACACUGAAGCACGAAAGCGUGGGGAUCAAACAGGAUUAGAUACCCUGGUAGUCCACGCAGUAAACGAUGAUUACUAGCUGUUUGCGAUACACAGUAAGCGGCACAGCGAAAGCGUUAAGUAAUCCACCUGGGGAGUACGCCGGCAACGGUGAAACUCAAAGGAAUUGACGGGGGCCCGCACAAGCGGAGGAACAUGUGGUUUA
RNAcentral lists this ribosomal RNA (878 nucleotides) under uncultured bacterium. Its description in RNAcentral is "bacterial SSU rRNA". It matches the Rfam family "Bacterial small subunit ribosomal RNA", at positions 72 to 948 of the family's 1533-position model. The record is from RNAcentral.